UGGGCUCGUGUGGUAGUGGACGAUCCUUUCGGAUUCCGGAUCCGACAACCCGGGUUCAAAUCCCGGCGGGCCCGU
This 75-nucleotide transfer RNA is filed under the name Candidatus Methanolliviera sp. GoM_asphalt. Its description in RNAcentral is "tRNA-Arg". It matches the Rfam family "tRNA". Rfam says of the family: Transfer RNA (tRNA) molecules are approximately 80 nucleotides in length. Lineage: Archaea; Methanobacteriati; Methanobacteriota; Candidatus Methanoliparia; Candidatus Methanoliparales; Candidatus Methanollivieraceae. The record is from RNAcentral.